GUCCACGCCGUAAACGAUGAAUGCUAGCCGUUGGGCAGCUUGCUGUUCAGUGGCGCAGCCAACGCAUUAAGCAUUCCGCCUGGGGAGUACGGCCGCAAGGUUGAAACUCAAAGGAAUUGACUGGGGCCCCGCACAAGCGGUGGAGCAUGUGGUUUAAUUCGACGCAACGCGCAGAACCUUACCAGGGUUUGACAUCCUGCGACCGCCUCCUAAUAGGGGUUUUCCCGCAAGGGACGCAGAGACAGGUGCUGCAUGGCUGUCGU
Molecule: ribosomal RNA, 263 nt
Filed under: uncultured bacterium
Lineage: Bacteria
Description: partial 16S ribosomal RNA
Rfam family: Bacterial small subunit ribosomal RNA
Source: RNAcentral